RNAcentral lists this unclassified non-coding RNA (4928 nucleotides) under Hevea brasiliensis (rubber tree). Lineage: Eukaryota; Viridiplantae; Streptophyta; Magnoliopsida; Malpighiales; Euphorbiaceae. The record is from RNAcentral.
GCCAAAUUCUGAGCAUUCCCGAGUCGGCAAGUCCAGAGAUUUCCCAGAAGGAAUUUUCUAGGGUUUUGGAAUGAUUUUUUGGUUUUUCUUCCAAAAUAUUGAAUUCGAUUAAUGGGGGCGUAAAAGCUCUGAUUCUGCUAUUGCUUUUGCUGUCGUUUUGGUGUAGUAACAUGGCAGAGAGAAACACAAUACUCACCUCUGAGAAACAUUCCACUCCUUCCUCUCUGAAUCCUCCCUCCCGCAUUAUCUGUCAUGUAUGCCAUAAGCAAUUUUCACUCUAUACGUGCCCUCGAUGCAAUUCUCGUUACUGUUCACUUCAGUGCUUCAAGUCUCAUAGUCUUCGAUGUACGGAAUCAUUCAUGCGAGAAAAUGUAGUGGAGGAGCUUCAACAUAUGCAGUCUAAUGAUGAAACCAAGCAAAAAAUGCUAGAGAUAUUGAAACGACUUCAUUUGGAGGAAAAGAUGGAUCACACGGAUGAGGAGGAUGGUGGAUUCUCAUUACUUUUGCUUCACUUGGAUUAUGUCAUUUUGCUUGCAAUUAAUUUUGAUGAUUUUGGAUUAUUGUAAACGAAAUCUUUCUAUUGUUAAAUUUUGGAUGAGUAUUAUGCUUUAGGUCAACAAUCCACAAAUUGGAGGUCCGUGGGAAGACUUUUUUAUCUGCUUUCUUUGCUUUAUUAUGACCCACACCUGACUUUCAUAAUGAAUGUAAUUGAGAAUAGUAAUUCAGUAGGUUAGUUGCAUAAUUGAUUGGAAUUGAUUAUUGAAUGGAUUUGUUUGUGUUAAUAGUUGUUAGCAUUAGACAGAGAAGUCUAGGAUUUUUAGUUGGAUUUCAGAUUGAUGAUCAAAAUGCUAAUUGGCUACUAUUUAAUAGGUAAAGUACUGGAGUUUUUUAUUUGGUCUAAGAAUUAGCAGCACAAGGGGAUGGCUGCAUACCUAUUUUGUUUCUAGUGUAUGAAUUUGUGAUUUCUUCCUGUUCUCGUAUCUGUUUGCAAUAAAGAGUUCUGGUCAUUGAACCACUGAAAAAUGAAACACAAGUUACACUUGUUUAUUUGUGUAGUUGAUUUAAUGAUCGCUCUAUGUGCCAGUUUUAAAUGCAUAUUACAGUUUACGUUCACUUUAUCCUUCUUUGGUAGAAAAGAGCCAGCAAAUCGUUUGUUGAAACUAUAGCAUAUACAGAUCAUCUUAUGGACAAAUUUUCAUAUUACUAGUGCUGUCCUGCCUUUGUUGCCAUGCUUUCACUAAAUUUUCUUUUUCCUUUACAGGAAAAAAAUUAAGUUUUAUUUUAAUUAUUGCAACAUUAUGUCAUGGCAUUAUCAGCUGAGUAUGAGUUACCAAUUGUGUGAAAGUGCUCUUACUGGAUUCUGCUCUUGUUUGUUGGCAGAUUGCAUUCUGUCUGAAGAGACUGCUCAAAAGAUUUUGUCUGGAGGUUCAAUCAGUUUGGAUGAUCUAUCUGCAGAAGUGAAGAAACGGUUCCAAAGAGCUGUGGCAUCUGGAGAACUUAGCAAGUUGAUUGAGCCUUGGGAUCCAUGGUGGUUGAAACCUUCUGCCAGAUCAACCUCUCUCAGUAAGGAUGGAACUCAACUUGUACAACCUAUUGUUGAGCAGGAAGCAUCAUCAUCAAAUCAGGAUGACGAUGUGGGUGGCCAUUCUAGAGAGAUUCCCCCUGGCCCUGAAGGUCCGCUAACCCCAAUUAAGAAGCUUCUUCUUUCUACAGAACCAUCGCCAUUGUUAGCUGUUCACUUGGUUGACAUUUUGUAUAGCUAUUGCUUCACAUUGCGGCUUUACAAUGGAGAUUGGCAAUCAGAUGCCACUGGAUCAGCUAUGGUGGUGUUCGGUGUAUCCUCUGUCUUGAGUCAAGGUGGGCAGCCAGAAACAGUAAUGGAAGCUCUGUCUUACUGCUUGGAAAAAACUUGCUCUCCAGGCUACAGGCAUAUGGGCGGAUUGCAAUUUGGAUUGGGUCUGAUCACUGAUGUAAUAAGCCUACUAUCACUGGGGGGUCCUGCUAUAAUCUGUGCACUCUGUGAUCUGCAGAGGCUAAUUCGGGCUGGGGAGGGGGAGCUGAAAGCUGAGAAAUCAAGAACUUUAAGAAGGUCAGAAACCAGAAACAAGCUGAAGCUUGCUGAGAGGAAGGUUUAUUUUAUUAUGUGUUGGGUGCAUGAGCAGCCAGGGGAAGCUUGGUCUUCCUUGGCUGCCAUUGUAGAGGCAGAGAGAAUCAAAGUCAUGGAGUAUAAUAAGGAUAGAACUUCUGCAGAAGUGAAGAAUAACGCAGGGAAAAAAGGGAAAGUUUCAAUCGAAGAGAUGAGUUAAGCUAACCAUUGUUUUUAUGAUCAGCUCAGCUUAAUCCUGUGUAAAUUUAUUUAUUUAUUUAUAGACCUGGUUAGUGCCAUUUUCUGUAAACUAGAUGGAAUUAAUAAAACGUUAUGCCGUUUUGAGAGUCAGCUUCUGCUUUGAUUAAUUGGACAUUUGCAAAUUUACAUUACUGAAGGAGCAUGGCAUUUCCGUAAUUUCGAUAACAACUAAGCCCAUUUCUGGAAUCCCGCCUAAAAACUAUACGAAGCAUCUUUCACCUUCGCUCCAUCGAUAACCAUAAACCCCCCAAAAGUCCCCAUUUGGAAGAACAUUCCAGUCUUUCUUCAGAUAACAGUAAGGUAGACCGAAGAACCGUCUCUGCUAUCUGUUCCCAAUUCUAAUAAACCCUAAAAAUUUCGAUAUAAUGGUUGAUGUAGCAGAUAAAUUGGCGUAUUUUCAAGCGAUCACGGGGCUUGAAGAUCCCGAUUUGUGCACAGAGAUUCUCCAAGCGCAUGGCUGGGACCUGGAACUCGCGAUCUCCUCUUUUACAUCCACUAACAACAAUAAUGAUGCUGACAAUAACGUCCCCUCCACUACUACAGCUGCAGCGGCCGACGUCGGAAGUUCCGACAUGGAAUCAUCGAGUUCUGUCUCUCGUGAUCUCUUUGACCGCCCCGAUUCUGGUGCCGGAGUUGUGGCCGCUGCUGCCCCCGGUUUAGCCUGGAAACUUAUUACUUUACCAUUUUCUGUGAUUUCAGGCAGUCUAGGGUUAAUUUCUGGUGCUGUUGGCCUUGGUUUAUGGGCUGCUGGUGGUAUUUUGUCUUAUUCGCUCGGAAUGGUCGGGCUGGGACCAAGCGCCGGUCGGAAUGGGGAGCCUUCUGCCCGAUUAGUUUCUGUGUCGGCUGCGGCGAGAGAGGCAAUGGACUUUGUAUUGGUGUUUGAAAGGGAGUAUGGUUCUAGAAGGCCCAAUUUUGUAACUGAAGGGUUCAUGGACGCCUUGCAGAGGUCGAGGAACGCCUACAAACUGUUGUUUGUGUAUUUACAUUCUCCAGAUCAUCAGGACACGCCUCUGUUUUGCGAGAGGACUCUUUGUUCGGAGGUUUUCACUGCUUUUGUGAAUGAGAAUUUCGUGGCCUGGGGAGGGAGCAUUAGAGCUAGUGAAGGAUUUAAGAUGAGCAAUAGCUUGAAGGCUUCCAGAUAUCCGUUUUGUGCCGUGGUUAUGCCUGCGACAAACCAAAGGAUCGCUUUGCUUCAACAGGUUGAGGGUCCAAAAUCUCCUGAAGAAAUGCUCAUGAUACUACAGAGAGUGCUUGAAGAAAGUGCACCUGUCCUUGUUGCUGCAAGACUUGAAUCAGAAGAAAGAAGAAACAACAUGCAGUUGAGAGAAGAACAAGAUGCUGCUUACAGAGCAGCACUUGAAGCUGAUCAAGCCAGGGAAAGGCAAAGGAAAGAAGAGCAGGAACGUCUAGAGAGGGAAGCUGCUGAAGCAGAGAGGAAGCGCAAGGAGGAAGAAGACGCUAAAGAGAGGGCAGCUCUUGAGGCUGCAGAAAGAGAGGCUGCUUUAGCUAGAAUGCGGGAGGAGAAAGCCCUAUCACUUGGUGCUGAACCUGAAAAAGGACCUGAUGUCACUCAAGUAAAUUUCUCAGCAGUUGCUUACAUUAUGAUGUUGCAUUAUUACAGCAUAUUCUUUCCGAUUCAUCAGUAUUUUGUGGAAUGAAUAUUUUGUUCGCUUGUUAAUUAGUUAUGUGUUUAUUUUAGUCCAUGGAGCUUUCAUGUAUGAAGAUUGUAUGGUAAUACACUUUGCUAUGUAUAGCUAGACCUUCUUACUUUUGCUGUGGUCAAGAUGUGAAUCUUUCGAAACUAAUGUAUCAUUUUCAAACUCCCUUCAUUACUUAGGUUUUGGUACGUUUCCCAACUGGAGAACGAAAAGAAAGAAGGUUCCACAGUACCACCACGAUCCAGUCUCUAUAUGACUACGUUGAUUCUUUGGGUUUCUUAGAGGUUGAUACAUACAGCCUUGUCUCAAAUUUUCCGCGGGUUGUGUAUGGUUCAGAAAAACUCUCCCUCUCCUUGAAAGAAGCAGGAUUGCAUCCUCAAGCUAGCCUUUUUGUGGAGCUGAACUAGGUAAGUGUAAUACCAAGUAGUGUGAUCAAGAGCAGUCCAAAAUGGGACAUGCAAGUGGGGUACUUUGUUGUGUUUCUCUUUUCAAUUUCAGCUUUGAUUAGCAAUGAUAGCAAGACCAGAUAGCUCCCCGGUUUGCUGUUUGGAUGUUAUAUUUUCAUUCAAUGCAAAGAUUCAAUCAUAAGUAAAAUGAGCUCAGGGUGGAAAAUGCGGUAGAAAUAAUGAUAUAUUAAUUUUGCACAUAUAUCAAUUGUGAGAGAUUCUAUUAUUAGGUUACCCCUAUUAUUGAUUGUAAGAAUGGAUUGAGGCCCAUUGAUUAGUAAUUCAAGUGGUUUUAUAUUCUGAAAGUGAAAAAACUUGGUUGAAGCAUAUGAUCUUACAUUUUUAAGCUACGCAUUUACUUUGGUUGGCUAUUUCUUAAUGCUGGUAUUAUUAAUAAUUAAGUACAUGCAUAGUCUUCAUAGCAUGUCAUCUCUCAAAAGACCUACACAUCAACUGAACGAUUCAUUAUGAUACACA